GCCGAAGUGGCGGAAUUGGUAGACGCGCACGCUUGAGGGGCGUGUGGGGUAACCCGUGGGGGUUCGAGUCCCCCCUUCGGCACCA
RNAcentral lists this transfer RNA (85 nucleotides) under Candidatus Methylomirabilota bacterium. RNAcentral's name for it is "tRNA-Leu". It matches the Rfam family "tRNA". From Rfam's summary of the family: Transfer RNA (tRNA) molecules are approximately 80 nucleotides in length. RNAcentral also lists the same sequence under 1 other name. The record is from RNAcentral. Lineage: Bacteria; Methylomirabilota (SeqCode).